Molecule: transfer RNA, 69 nt
Filed under: Enyalioides cofanorum (Cofan woodlizard)
Lineage: Eukaryota; Metazoa; Chordata; Lepidosauria; Squamata; Hoplocercidae
Description: tRNA-Leu
Source: RNAcentral
GGAAGCGUGCCCGAAUUUAAGGAUUACUUUGAUAGAGUAAACAAUAGAGGUUAAAGCCCACUCACUUCC